This is a long non-coding RNA of Lutra lutra (Eurasian river otter), 3700 nucleotides long. RefSeq lists it as uncharacterized. Lineage: Eukaryota; Metazoa; Chordata; Mammalia; Carnivora; Mustelidae. The transcript is spliced from 2 exons. The record is from RefSeq and is a predicted model, not a curated record.
CAAAAUCAAGAGUUAGGGGCUCAAUCAACUGUGUCUCCCAGGGACCCCCCCCCCACAAAAAUUAUUAAUAAUAUUUAGAAUUAUAAAUAUUAACUAUGAGAAUGUGCUUCCUAGACCCCCAAUUACAGCAGCAGCAUCCUAGGGUCCCGGGGGCUGUUCUCUGAUAUCCAUCGUGGCUUCUGCACUGACACCAUGUUUCCCUCCGACGCCCCCAGGCAACAACUGGGCCGGGUAGGGAUGCCAAGGACACCAGAUCCCGGGGGCAGUAGGUCUCCAGGAAUGGCUGUUUUGGGUUUGAGGAUUCCCUGGCUACUCUGUGGAAGCUUCUUCAGACUGUCCUGAGGUACAGGACACUCGUGCCCAACCUUCUCUCUUUCACUCCUCUUUGGGGUCCUACGGAGUCUGAGUGCUCCCUCCACCGACCAGCCUCCCUCCCUCUUUUCUCUCAGAAAGACAUUUCCCCAAUCCCGUUUUGGCAUCUGCUUCUCAGAGCACCCAAGUGAACAAUGGUAUUGCUUCCCUCCUAUUUGUUGCAAGGAACGGCUGAAAAGGGAAAAGCUUGAGCACGCUGCCUGGCAUGUGGUCAGUGCUCAUCGUUGUCCCACAUCACAGGUAGAAGUCCUGUUACUGUAUCAGUGUGAAUCGACUGAUGUCAGUAAAAAGGAGAGUAGAGGUGAUGAAUGCUGCAUGACCUCGGUUGAGAGAGGGGGCCACCGCGGUGUCUGCUGCCGGCAUGUUCCAGCCACUGGGUUCAUGGCUCGGGAGCCCAGCAGAGAGGACCCCCACUCACGUGGCACUGGGUGCAGCUCGGGGGCGUCAGUGCCCGGCAGAGUUGGGGGGCCAGGGGAGAAUGAUGGGAAGACAGCAUGCCUUCAAGUAAAACAGGGGCUAUGGGAAGCUAGGGUGACUCACAGGAUUUCUCUCAAAACCCCCGAGCCCAUGGCAUCUAGAAUGUGCUGAGUGUGGGGCCCGCCAGCCCAAUCUUGCCUCGGUUCUAAGAAUGUGUCUCUUCCCUCCCCUCCCACAGUUGUCAAAAUUAAUCAGGCCCCUGAUUUCAGCAGUAUUUCUCUCUUCUCUUAGAAGAAUUUGGCAAAGAAAACUGGGUUAUAUCCCCGCACAGGAGGCCGCAGAGAUCAGGGGUGAUUGGGAGGAAACGUGAGAGCUGUUAUCUCUAGCUUGGGUUUCAGAACGUGGUUCUCCCUGCUCACAUGUGCGGGGACAGCCCGGUUAGGUGAGGCAGGUCAGGCACGUGGUGUGGAGCAGGCAGGAACCCUGGACUCUGACAGCUCCAUACCACGUUCUGCCUCUUCCCCGGGCCAGCUGGAGGUCUCUAACUUCUAUAAGCCUCCAUCUCCUGCUAGUGGGUCGUGACAGGAGAGCAUCUUUCUCGUUACAUUUUGGGGAGAAUUAAACAACUAAUCAGUGGUAAACCCUCAGCCCGGUUCCUCGCACCCAGUGCCCGAAGCCCAGUGAAGACACCGCCAGUCCCUGUUUGGAGACCCCUGGUCCCCUUGAUGAUCGUCCCUCCUGUUUUCUUUUGAAUUCUGACCUCCAACAGCCCUAUAUGGUAGCGGUAUCAUUAUCCCCAUUUUAUAGAUUUGUAAACUGAGGCUCAGCUUACGUACCUAGUGAACAAACACUUGCGGUACAAGACCUUAAUAGAGCCUGUUGGAACACUUCCCAGAGGCAAAGAGGCAGUGAAAGCAACUCAGGCCACAUUUAGAGGCCAACAGCCUUCAUGGACUGGAAGGACUGGAAGGGCACAGCAUAGGCCCUGUCCCUCCCCGCCCCCAAGUCCCCAAGUUGAAACAUGACCCCUGUAGAUGGGGGGCACCAUGCAUUUCCUCUUUGUUCAUGUGUCACCGAUGCCUGCCCUUACUGCUCUUCUUCAAACUGCCCUCUUCUCUCCUCCUACCCCUGACUCCUCACUCUGGGCACUCUCUCCUCCGCCCAAGGCUUUAUUUUUAAAAAUUGUUUUUACCGAAAUAUAAUGUACAUCUCCAAAGCGACCCUCCUUAAUGUUUUCCCCACAAAGAGCUGAUCACAUCUAAGAAUCUGUAUAGCUUACUUAUCAUGAGUGGAAUCCAAGGUCCACAAGGGCAAGGUUUUGUGUCGGCUUGGUUCACUGCUCCCCCCAAUCCCCACCCCAUGCCUGGCCUGCAGGAGCCUCGCAGCCUCCUUGCUGCUCACAGAGGAGGAGGAAGCACGCGGCUGAGCCCCGCCUCCCUGACUUGAGGGUUUUGUGCAGAGCAGCCUCAGCCACGGAAUGAGUAAGCGCCAGAGGGCGUGGUCGACAACGGCGGCACGUGCUCUGGGUCAGGAGCGUCCCCUGUCGAUCGUCUGAGAGCCCCGGAAGGCCUCCUGGAGGACAUGAAUGGACACCCUGAUGCUCAGAAUUCUCCUGUCACCUGAGCCAGGGGCUCCUUCCCUGAUAAAGGGGAAGCCUUCCCUCUGUUAAACCCCAAUCCCUCCUGUUGCUGUUUCAACCCAUUUCCUCUUGUUCUACCCUCAGCGGGUCCUGUGGCAGUAACCGCACUAACCAUUCCAACCCAUUUCAUUCCUCCGCCUAGUGUCCCAGCAGGUGGAGCAGGGCCUGCGCCAGACACAUUGCCCACACCCGUGUGCAGCCCAGAGGGGCAAGCUGACGGCGCGGUGCCCUUGGAGGAGGGCGAGCCCAGGGAGGCCCUACCCCAGGUACCUGUCGGAAAGCCAACACACUGGAGGAGCUUCCGGAACUAAGGCUGAGUGGGUGGGUGAAGGGGGGACUACAGGAUGCCCUGAGAAGUCCUUCUAAUGACCCAGCUUCUGUCUAGACUUGGCGAUGACCUCAUCAAAACAAAUUUUUGCUAUUUCACUUUACUAUUUAUUUCUGUUUCGUGUUUUAUUUUUGGCCACUUUUCCCCAAAGAGAAGCUUCCGAAAUUGUUUUCAACGUGGUUCAAAGGGCAGAGCUGAAUAAAAAUGUGAGAAAAUCAAAGAAAGAAGAAAAGAAAAAUGAGAAAGUAAGGAGAGGCUCUGGACUGGAGUUCUCUGAACUCAGUGGCUGGAGUCACCAGUGGAGGGGUGCACCCCCUCCUGGGAAGGAGUUGGUAGCUGUGUAACCCUGUAACCGCAGCCCUAGGCCAGAGACCACGCUCCUUCCUUUCCGCUCCUCCAGAUGACCCUGGAGAGGGGCAAGUGAUGGCCUCCUUGCAAUUAUUCCAGAAUGACUUGCAACGAGAGAACUUUACACAGUGAAACUGGUGCAGCUUCAGCUUCUGAGUCCUGAUGUGCACGAACCAAUUUUCUCAUUUGGGAUCUGUAAACUCUAAUUUAUUUUUUCUGAAAGCCUUUACAUUAUUGAGGCUUUGGGCCCCACAAACCUAGAUCCAUUGCUUCCUAUGUUCCACUAUGGCAGAAAAUGCAAGCCAUACACUAAAAGGUCUUUCAGUUUCCACCAUUGUUGCUGGGAAGUGGCCAUCCAGCCAGGGUCACACUUCCGGCUCCUCUGUGACCAGGUCUUAUCAGUAGAAUGUGGCGGAAAGGAUAUGUCCACCAUUCCCUGGCCUGACCUCUUCACACCUUUUAAGCCUAUUAAAAUCUAUAAGAACAUGUUAAAACCUACAAUCCUUUUCCCCUUCCCUUGUCUUCUGGCUGCAUCCGGGACAACAAUGGAAGCCACGUGUGGAGGGCAGCAAGGUGUAAUAAAGAGUUUGACUCCA